RNAcentral lists this ribosomal RNA (265 nucleotides) under uncultured bacterium. Its description in RNAcentral is "partial 16S ribosomal RNA". It matches the Rfam family "Bacterial small subunit ribosomal RNA", at positions 793 to 1055 of the family's 1533-position model. The record is from RNAcentral.
GUCCACGCCGUAAACGAUGGGCACUAGGUGUGGGGGGUAUUGACCCCCUCCGUGCCGAAGCUAACGCAAUAAGUGCCCCGCCUGGGGAGUACGGCCGCAAGGCUAAAACUCAAAGGAAUUGACGGGGGCCCGCACAAGCAGCGGAGCGUGUGGUUUAAUUCGACGCAACGCGAAGAACCUUACCAAGGCUUGACAUGCUGGUAGUACCGAUCCGAAAGGUGAGGGACCCUUCGGGGAGCCAGUGCAGGUGAUGCAUGGCUGUCGU